RNAcentral lists this ribosomal RNA (494 nucleotides) under uncultured bacterium. RNAcentral describes it as "bacterial SSU rRNA". It matches the Rfam family "Bacterial small subunit ribosomal RNA", at positions 1010 to 1505 of the family's 1533-position model. The record is from RNAcentral.
GAGUCUUUCUUCGGGACAGAGGAGACAGGUGGUGCAUGGUUGUCGUCAGCUCGUGUCGCGAGAUGUUGGGUUAAGUCCCGCAACGAGCGCAACCCCUGUCCUUAGUAGCCAGCAGUUCGGCUGGGCACUCUAGGGAGACUGCCAGGGAUAACCUGGAGGAAGGUGGGGAUGACGUCAAAUCAUUAUGCCCCUUAUGAUAUGGGCUACACACGUGCUACAUGGCGUAAACAAAGAGAGGCGACCCUGUGAAGGCAAGCAAAUCUCAAAAAUAACGUCUCAGUUCGGAUUGUAGUCUGCAACUCGACUACAUGAAGCUGGAAUCGCUAGUAAUCGCGAAUCAGAAUGUCGCGGUGAAUACGUUCCCGGGUCUUGUACACACCGCCCGUCACACCAUGGGAGUCGGAUAUGCCCGAAGUCAGUGACCUAACCGCAAGGAAGGAGCUGCCGAAGGUGGAGCCGAUGACUGGGGUGAAGUCGUAACAAGGUAACCAAUC